This 447-nucleotide ribosomal RNA is filed under the name uncultured Streptococcus sp. RNAcentral describes it as "bacterial SSU rRNA". It matches the Rfam family "Bacterial small subunit ribosomal RNA", at positions 936 to 1382 of the family's 1533-position model. The record is from RNAcentral. Lineage: Bacteria; Bacillati; Bacillota; Bacilli; Lactobacillales; Streptococcaceae.
AGCAUGUGGUUUAAUUCGAAGCAACGCGAAGAACCUUACCAGGGCUUGACAUGCCGCUGACCGGUGCAGAGAUGCAUCUUAUCCUUCGGGGUACAGCGGACACAGGUGGUGCAUGGUUGUCGUCAGCUCGUGUCGUGAGAUGUUGGGUUAAGUCCCGCAACGAGCGCAACCCCUAUUGUUAGUUGCCAUCAUUCAGUUGGGCACUCUAGCGAGACUGCCGGUAAUAAACCGGAGGAAGUGGGGAUGACGUCAAAUCAUCAUGCCCCUUAUGACCUGGGCUACACACGUGCUACAAUGGUUGGUACAACGAGUUGCGAGUCGGUGACGGCGAGCUAAUCUCUUAAAGCCAAUCUCAGUUCGGAUUGUAGGCUGCAACUCGCCUACAUGAAGUCGGAAUCGCUAGUAAUCGCGGAUCAGCACGCCGCGGUGAAUACGUUCCCGGGCCUU